Molecule: ribosomal RNA, 399 nt
Filed under: uncultured bacterium
Lineage: Bacteria
Description: bacterial SSU rRNA
Rfam family: Bacterial small subunit ribosomal RNA
Source: RNAcentral
AUUGAACGCUGGCGGCAUGCCUUACACAUGCAAGUCGAACGGCAGCGGACCUUCGGGUGCCGGCGAGUGGCGAACGGGUGAGUAAUAUAUCGGAACGUACCUUUCAGUGGGGGAUAACGUAGCGAAAGUUACGCUAAUACCGCAUAUUCUGUGAGCAGGAAAGCAGGGGAUCGCAAGACCUUGCGCUGAUUGAGCGGCCGAUAUCAGAUUAGCUAGUUGGUGAGGUAAAGGCUCACCAAGGCGACGAUCUGUAGCGGGUCUGAGAGGAUGAUCCGCCACACUGGAACUGAGACACGGUCCAGACUCCUACGGGAGGCAGCAGUGGGGAAUUUUGGACAAUGGGUCGCAACGCCUGAUCCAGCCAUGCCGCGUGCAGGAAUAAGGCCUCGGUCGUAACGU